GGUGAGGUAAAAGCUCACCAAGGCGACGAUCUGUAGCGGGUCUGAGAGGAUGAUCCGCCACACUGGAACUGAGACACGGUCCAGACUCCUACGGGAGGCAGCAGUGGGGAAUUUUGGACAAUGGGGGCAACCCUGAUCCAGCCAUGCCGCGUGAGUGAAGAAGGCCUUCGGGUUGUAAAGCUCUUUCAGCCGGGAAGAAAACGCAUGGGUUAAUACCCUGUGUGGAUGACGGUACCGGAAUAAGUAGCACCGGCUAACUACGUGCCAGCAGCCGCGGUAAUACGUAGGGUGCGAGCGUUAAUCGGAAUUACUGGGCGUAAAGCGUGCGCAGUCGGUUUUGUAAGACAGGCGUGAAAUCCCCGGGCUUAACCUGGGAACUGCGUUUGUGACUGCAAGGCUAGAGUACGGCAGAGGGGGGUGGAAUUCCACGUGUAGCAGUGAAAUGCGUAGAGAUGUGGAGGAACACCAAUGGCGAAGGCAGCCCCCUGGGUCGAUACUGACGCUCAUGCACGAAAGCGUGGGUAGCAAACAGGAUUAGAUGCCCUGGUAGUCCGCGCCCUAAACGAUGUCAACUAGGUGUUGGGAGGGUAAAACCUUUUAGUACCGGAGCUAACGCGUGAAGUUGACCGCCUGGGGAGUACGGCCGCAAGGUUAAAACUCAAAGGAAUUGACGGGGACCCGCACAAGCGGUGGAUGAUGUGGAUUAAUUCGAUGCAACGCGAAAAACCUUACCUACCCUUGACAUGCCAAGAACUUUCCAGAGAUGGAUUGGUGCCCGAAAGGGAACUUGGACACAGGUGCUGCAUGGCUGUCGUCAGCUCGUGUCGUGAGAUGUUGGGUUAAGUCCCGCAACGAGCGCAACCCUUGUCGUUAAUUGCCAUCAUUUAGUUGGGCACUUUAACGAGACUGCCGGUGACAAACCGGAGGAAGGUGGGGAUGACGUCAAGUCCUCAUGGCCCUUAUGGGUAGGGCUUCACACGUCAUACAAUGGUCGGUACAAAGGGUCGCCAAGCCGCGAGGUGGAGCCAAUCCCAGAAAGCCGAUCGUAGUCCGGAUCGCAGUCUGCAACUCGACUGCGUGAAGUCGGAAUCGCUAGUAAUCGUGGAUCAGAAUGUCACGGUGAAUACGUUCCCGGGUCUUGUACACACCGCCCGUCACACCAUGGGAGCGGGUUCCGCCAGAAGUAGGUAGCCUAACCGCAAGGAGGGCGCUUACCACGGCGG
This 1223-nucleotide ribosomal RNA is filed under the name metagenome. RNAcentral's name for it is "bacterial SSU rRNA". It matches the Rfam family "Bacterial small subunit ribosomal RNA", at positions 251 to 1465 of the family's 1533-position model. The record is from RNAcentral.